GAUGAACGCUGGCGGCGUGCCUAAUACAUGCCAGUCGAGCGAACGGACGAGAAGCUUGCUUCUCUGAUGUUAGCGGCGGACGGGUGAGUAACACGUGGAUCACCUACCUAUCAGACUGGGAUAAAUUCGGGAAACCGGAGCUACUACCGGAUAAUAUUUUGAACCGCAUGGUUAAAAAGUGAAAGACGGUCUUGCUGUCACUUAUAGAUGGAUCCGCGCUGCAUUAGCUAUUUGGUAAGGUAACGGCUUACCAAGGCAACGAUGCAUAGCCGACCUGAGAGGGUAAUCGGCCACACUGGAACUGAGACACGGUCCAGACUCCUAGGGGAGGCAGCAGUAGGGAAUCUUCCGCAAUGGGCGAAAUCCUGACGCAGCAACGCCGCGUGGGUGAUGAAGGUCUUCUGAUCGUAAAACUCUGUUAUUAGGGAAGAACAUAUGUGUAAGUAACUGGGCACAUCUUGACGGUACCUAAUCAGAGAGCCACGGCUAACUACGUG
Molecule: ribosomal RNA, 497 nt
Filed under: uncultured bacterium
Lineage: Bacteria
Description: partial 16S ribosomal RNA
Rfam family: Bacterial small subunit ribosomal RNA
Source: RNAcentral